UGAUGAGUGUGCUUGGUUUGGCAAAGUGGUAAGAAAAGAAACACCAGCAGAUGGAAUCAAACAGCACAGUUCUGCAUUCCCAAAUUCUCCACCAAAAUAAUGGGAAACGAGUGGUAUUACGUAAUUUAAAAUUCAGUUAAUUCAAUUAAUACUGAAGCGAAUAUAGGAAUAUCCACUGAACUGCCAAGGACUGCAUGCAAUAGUUCUGAGCUCAGAGCCUUAAUUGCUACAGUCAGUGCUUAUCCCAAGAACUCAGAGGGCUGUGUGUUUGUUUACUUCUUGGGCUUUCCUGCCUGUAACUUUGUCCACGUGCAGUGGGGCAGCAUGCUGCCUCCUGUUUGCUGGUGGUGAAACCAUGACUGAUUUCCACGGGGCUCCAGACCUGGACGGACAUUUCUGGUGCUCUUACAGCUGUUACAGUCAGUACGCUAGCAGAACCUCCCAUGGGGCCGGUGCUGCUGAUGGCUCCAAGGAGAAGCACUGUCCGUGCAGGAGGCCAUGCCCACUGUCCUGACCACCUGGAGGUUUCUCACAUCUCGCGUUUAAAGUGUUGAUGUAGACAGACACAAACUUAUUUAGCUUCUGCCUUGGACUUUGGUUCCUAAUUUACUGGAGGGGGUGAAAGAGGCAGCCAAUUUCUUAAAACCAACCAAAACUUUGUUUCUUGAUUUCAGUACCAGGUUUGUGGAACAGACAAAGUUUUCUCCUGUAUCUCCUGCAGGAAAGCAGUUCUGACUCACUACUCUUUUAUUUCCUGUAGUCUUUUUGUUGAACUUCACUUACUUUUGAAUUUCACUGGGUGUUAUUUAUUGAGGUAACACUGGUCUUUAUUGUGUUGCAAUGUAGAUCAACGCUUGUAUUUGUCCUUCAGCUGUUUGUUUUAGGUAUAGAGUUUAAUUUUAGCCAAAUACAAAUAACAGCUCAAAUUUACUUCUGCAAUUGCAAAAUACUGGUUGCACAACUGCUGUCCUGUACUUCAGAUGUCCACAAGAAAAUCAUUUGCCAAUAAUUCUUUCUAUUUGUUUUGACUUAGUUCCAAAAAAAAACCAAAAAAAACCACCCAACCCCAACACCUCAGGUCCUUUGUUAUGGGCUGAAGACAGCUUUGCUUGCUGGGCCAAACCUUGCUCCUUUGUUGUGGCACAAUGCUGAGACACAUCAGACUGAAUAUGAAAAUAUCCAGAAGGUCUGCAACACUGAAACAAAACUCACCCUGGAGGAAACACCUAUGGAGCCUUUGUGCCUCCAUUUGCAGAGGGACCAAGUUCUGCAAAUCAGUGAGAAAUUAAAUUAGCAUAAAUCAAAGCUCAGUGUAAGGGUAAAACUAAGCAUAAACUGAGCAUUGCUUUAAAUAUGCUGCUUACCCAACUGCUUCAGUAGAAAAGUGUUUUGCAAUAUGGUUCUCCUCAUCUUGAAACAACCGUUGGGAAACAUUGGUAAGUUUUUUCUUUUGCAGAGGGAUAGAAUGCUGCCACGUGGUCCACCU
This 1486-nucleotide long non-coding RNA is filed under the name Phasianus colchicus (ring-necked pheasant). RNAcentral's name for it is "lncRNA (ENSPCLG00000021831.1)". Lineage: Eukaryota; Metazoa; Chordata; Aves; Galliformes; Phasianidae. The record is from RNAcentral.